Non-coding RNA from Anas platyrhynchos (mallard), 2913 nucleotides. The record is from RefSeq and is a predicted model, not a curated record. Lineage: Eukaryota; Metazoa; Chordata; Aves; Anseriformes; Anatidae.
AGUACCUCCAGUACAAACAGCUUAAUAGAAGCUAAAAUAAUCUCACUUUUUGAAGAUACAGGUGCAGGACUAUGAAAGCAGACCACUAUGGAAGUUGGAGGACAAUGUAUGUUAUAAGUGACUAAAACCAUUUAACAUCUUGUGUAGUACACAAAAUGAGAGACGUGAACAAAGCAAGAUACAACUAUAAAAUUUACAAGUAAAUAUUAUACAGAGCUUUCUCAGCUAACAGAAACCAUUUAUUCUCUAUACUCCAGUAAAGAUUUGUGAGCACCAAAUUUUAACAACUCACAUACUCUUUCAUGAUUCACAUCUAAAAUGCAAGUUCCCUACUAAAGUAGAUGAAUCACAUAAUCACUUCGAAAAUCAAAAUGAAGUGAACUUGUGUUUGUCAGCAUAUAUUCAGCUUUUUCUAUGACUUCAAAUUAACACUAGUGCUCAGUAUGCUGGGCAAGCACAAGGUCCUUAUCUCCUUUAGCAAACAUCAUUACUCUAAAACACACCAACAAGGUGAAUCCAACCAAACUGAUUUGCUGAUUUUGCAACUUGACAUCAAAGUAUGAAAAUCAGUUCUUCGUUUGUUGGCCCAAUGACCCAAAUUCUGAUUGCUGUGCAGGUAGAAUUGUAUUUCCCUGUAAUUAUUUGCUCCUAUUACUCUCAUGCUGUAAAUAGUAAGAUCUUGCCCACAUAAAAACUUCAUCCUUUUAAUAAUGCUAGUGAAAUUUAAAAAUUUUACUGGCAAAUUAUUUAGCACUUGGUAGUAAUUGUACUUACACAUUAAGAAAACUUCACAUUAUUCAUUAUCCUAGUUCAUUUAUCCACAGCUGCAUGAAAGUGAGGUCUAAAUCUCUGCUUUGAACUUGUACAUUUAAUUUGUUUUGGGUUAUAAAGACAUGACUGCUUUUGUGUCAGCUGUUUCCAUCAUCACACAUCUUCAUAAUUUAUUUUCUACACAGAGAACUUUAAGAACUUAACAUACAGUCAUCCUGCCUUCUUACAACUAGAAUUUGUAAGUAUUUCUUAUGUUUUCCCAGAUUUACAAAACACUUGGUUUGGAUUAUCCCUGUAAAACAAUUAUUGUAUAGCUUUAAAAAGACAGAUAAUUCAAGCCAAUCGUUUUUUCAAAUUUCCUUACUAUAGGCAAUGUAGACAGAUGUAACUACAGUUUGACGAAUUACUGAGAAUAAUAGAGAACUACCAACCUGAAGAUCAUGGUGCCUCGGUUUUUCAUUACAAAAUGCACAGGCAAAUGUUUAGGAAUUGCCUGCUUCUGAGUUGCAAGGCUUUGCUACCUUGUGAGAACACAUUAGCUUUACACAGAACAAAGUAUGGGAAAGCUGAAGCGUAAUCACAGGCCAAAGCAGCAAUAGAUUCUGUAAGAUUAAACAGGAAUGUUUACAAGCUUUUUGUUUUAUAUUACUGAUAGCAUUCUGACUAUAUAAAGAAGUGUUCAAACAAGUUCAGACCUGAUGCUGUUUUCAUUGACAGUGUUGCAAGAGAGCAUCGCGCCCAUCUUGAGAUGUUUUGGAUUCUGAUUAGCGCCUCUCACCGCAGAGGCAGAUCAUAGCAGCACCCUUCAAACAUUCACAAAGCUUCACCACCAGCAGCACUCAUCUGUCCAUAUGCCAGCGUCCACACCAGGCACACUUAUUGUGCUGGUGCCAGGGUGUACCUGAUCAUACCUAUUGACAUGUUUCCUAAGACAUAGACUUCAACAGACCAGGCCGCAUUUAAAAAAAAAAAAAAAAAAGGAAUCAGGCCUUUUUAGAUCUUGAAGUUCAGGCCAGGACAGUGUUAGACAUGAAAAUUUAGUAUUUAGUUCACUGCCAAACAUAUUUGUGUACUAGCAAUAAAUUUACCUGAUGUAUUUAAGUAGAUGCAAGAGAUCAUAGUUAGUCUGGACAGAAUUAUGUCAGUAGAAAGCUGCUUUCCGUGCUGCACAGUUUGUUUGCUUUUUCGUCCAGCUAUGUAAGGUAAACUGAUACAAAAUGUAUUGCAUACUACAUUAACAAUUUUGACUACCUUGCUAUAGUAUGGAUUAUAAGACAAACAAAGCCUAACCAUUCAAAAAUACUCCUUUUACCGCAAGAUAGUGAAUGAACUGCAGCAAAAUGAAAAGGAUUUGUACUUGCAAGUGACAUUAAACCAUUCUCUAGAAUUAAAAAGAAAUGACUUAAGGCAAUUGGACAAGAUUAUAAAAUUAUACAGUAAGUUAAACCUACAGUAAAUGAGUAGGUUUUAAAAAGACUUUUCUUGGAACAAGGACUGUCUUAGUCAUAUAUGAAGUCAUGUAGUAAGCAGAAAAGAGAAAGAAAUCCUCUGUACACAGCAUUAAGGAGACAUACAGGAAAAGGGUUAAUAUAGAGGGUUUAUCACAGUCAAUAGGACAACAAUAAAGCAAAGUUAUUGACUACAUGCAUUCAUAACCGUUAAGUGAUAUCAUGAAUGGAAAAAAAUAAAUGCAAGGACAAGAAGGAAGCAUUGCAAAUCAAAUGAUGUUUUGUUUUUAGUUGAUUAUUGAUACCUUUAGUUUUUCAUUAAUGCUACCUCCUGGCAGCAUACAGUAGCUUCAGUCUCAGCUUGCCUGUUUUUUUUGUUGUUGUUGUUGCUUUUGUUUUGUAUGUUUGUUUUAAGGGACAGCUCUCAAAACAACUCAGUGCCUGCCACUUUUAGGGAUGACAGCAACAUACAGCUUCAAAACAUGCCAAGCAUUACUGAAUAAACAGUAAUAUAUAAGUUAAAAAUACAAAAUCUAAGCAUUUACACCUAUAUCAUAUAAUUUAACUACUCAGUUUCACCUACAAAGUAGCCAUAUCAUGCCAGAAUUUUGCCAUGUUAUAAGAACUAAUGCUGUAACUUUUCCGUAGGACAACAGUGAAUUAAUAUUAUGACAAUGUACUUUGAAAGACAGAA